Callithrix jacchus (white-tufted-ear marmoset) is the source of this 166-nucleotide small nuclear RNA. Its record names the gene U1. It matches the Rfam family "U1 spliceosomal RNA". From Rfam's summary of the family: U1 is a small nuclear RNA (snRNA) component of the spliceosome (involved in pre-mRNA splicing). The record is from Ensembl. NCBI's taxonomy places the organism in Eukaryota, Metazoa, Chordata, Mammalia, Primates, Cebidae.
ACACUCACCUGGCAGGGGAGACACCAUGAUCACGAAGGUGGUUUGCCCAGGGUUAAGUCCACCCAUCAAAUUCCAGGUGGACUGACACCUGCAAUUUCCCCAAAUGCGGGAAACUGGCCUGCAUAAUUGGUGGGGUGAGUGGGGACUGUGUUUGCACGUUCCCCUA